RNAcentral lists this non-coding RNA (73 nucleotides) under Pycnococcus provasolii. Lineage: Eukaryota; Viridiplantae; Chlorophyta; Pseudoscourfieldiophyceae; Pseudoscourfieldiales; Pycnococcaceae. The record is from RNAcentral.
AACAAAGAAAAGAAAAUGUGCUGAGCGCUGAUUUGAUGAGGGUCUUUUUUUUAUUUUCCUUUUUUUUCUUAAA